Molecule: long non-coding RNA, 399 nt
Organism: Salvia hispanica
Lineage: Eukaryota; Viridiplantae; Streptophyta; Magnoliopsida; Lamiales; Lamiaceae
Source: RefSeq, a predicted model, not a curated record
ACUCCUAUUGAAUUCAGAUCAGAUUAGCAGCACUGAACAAUGGAGAAGAAAGUGGCGAUAGUACUGAGCGUGAUUUUGCUCAUAUUGUCAGCAAAUAUGGUGGCAGUUAACUCCGACGCCUCCGACUGCAACGACGCCUGCACCACUGCCUGCGUUAAUCCUGACCCUAGACUUACGGCUCGAUGCAACAUCAAGUGCGGGAUAAGGUGCGGUCCAGGACUCCAAGCAAAUGAGCAUCUAAACUGAUGUUUUGGAAUUGGGAAGACGAGGUUCAGUUUAUAUUACUGAAUAAAAUAAAUCAGUUGUUGUUAUAUGAGGAUAAGUUUGUGGGACACUGCUGUUACGUUUCUGUACUGGACUGGAUCUUAAUAUAAUGGAUGUUACGACUUUUUAAUACUA